ACCAAACCCACCGACAGUUGACGAGUUGACACGACAACUUGACUCCCCGCUUAUUAGUUACUACAACAGUCCUAUGAAGUAUGAGAAUCAGUUACCAUGGUCGCAAUAACGUUCUCAGAUCUUUGACUUGUGUCUCAAUUUCGCUUUUUCUUCUCAACCCAAUAACUGCAAUAACAUUCCUCGAUCAGAAAUUUACUCCAAACUUAGAUUCAUCAACAUCCAUGUCCACAGCACACCAAAAUUGAAGACAAUCAAAGUGGAUGAUGUUGGGAUAAUGUUCUGAUUAUGCAAAAGCACUUCAAUGUCCAGGUACUCUCUCUCUCUCUCUCUCUCUCACACACACACACACACACACACACAAACACAAACUUACACAUUAAAUAUGCUGAAGAACAGCCCAGGGCUCUUAGACUGAGGGGAUGCUACGUAUGGCCACCAGAAUAUUAGACUAAAAACAGUAUAAAGGCUUUUUCAGUCUAGUUGACAUUUUAGAACCAUCAAAUAAUCACUUCUGAUCAUUUCAGUAAUGGUGAAUAGUGAAUUCAGAGUUUAGUUUGCUUGCACAGAGGCUGCUUCUGAAGAGGGUUUUGAGUAUGCAGAUGUCAAGAUAGCGGUUGCAAAAGAUUUGCAUUGCCAGGCUGAGAUUGUACUAGUUGGAUAAGAGCCUCACUUCGCUCUAUUUGGAUUCUACUUCAAAUAAAGGUCAAGUUUACAUUGAGUUUGGCUUUGAACUAGUCAUCUAAGUUGGACAUUGUGAUUUACUUGAUUGUAUUGUACAUUGCUUUGCACUCAUGCUUUUGUGGUCAUUCUCCUACUGCUUCACAAUCUAUAGAAGAAACUCUGUACUUUAUUUUUUGAUUCUAACACUCCUAUUCCAUUCGAUUUGAUUGCUUGGAUUGAUAGAGCUAGCAAAAACUGCCCUGUUCACUCCCGUUUACAUAUCCUUCAUGUCAUGGAUGUUUGGCAAUUAUAUUAUAUACUGUUUUACAUGACCAAAUUACCAAUCCUUGCUGCGCCUUCUCCCAACAAAAAGAAAAUGUGGGAAAAGGUCAUCUUUUAUCUAAUUGAUUGAUAAUUGGGGUUAUAAUGAUUAUAUUUUGUGUUCUCACCCAAUGCGAAGAGUGCCAUCUAUAUAUAUACGUAAUAUAUAUUAUUAGUAGUCAGUUUCAAUUUAACAACACCCUUAACAAAACAAUUGGGAUUUAGUGUCAAAUUUAGCACGAAUAGAUUAUUUCACUAGAACAGAGCAGUAAAAUUGCAGGCCAACUGCAUUCACUAGUAACUCUUAAAACACUGUUAACUGUGCCACUAAACUGUUAUCCAUGAAACUGCAUGCAAGGACUGUUAGCAAGGUUCUGUAAUUGGACAGCUCACUUGUCUUCUAACUUCUUAUCAUCCUCAUUAUUUAUUUAUACAUGCAUUUCAAUUUGGGAGAGUCAUUGCCUUUGACUAUUUAUAUGAA
Camellia sinensis is the source of this 1462-nucleotide non-coding RNA. The record is from RefSeq and is a predicted model, not a curated record. NCBI's taxonomy places the organism in Eukaryota, Viridiplantae, Streptophyta, Magnoliopsida, Ericales, Theaceae.